Lolium rigidum is the source of this 2340-nucleotide long non-coding RNA. RefSeq lists it as uncharacterized. Lineage: Eukaryota; Viridiplantae; Streptophyta; Magnoliopsida; Poales; Poaceae. The record is from RefSeq and is a predicted model, not a curated record. The transcript is spliced from 3 exons.
UCGGUCUCUUCCCAAUUUCUUUCUCUCCACGAUCCUCAGCCCUAGGUUGCUGCUGUGCUUGUCCGUGUUGAGCUCUGCCUCCUCUAUCUUGAUGCCAUGGCUGCCCAACGCCUCUUCCCCUCUCCCCUAAAUCUCUAAUCCAAUCCCUUUCACCUCCACUCUGGUCCUUUCUCCUCUGCCAGUCUUCUCUAUGGAUGGAACAGGGAGGGGAAAAGGUGAGCAGUGCGCCAUGCAUGAGGAGACGUUCCUCCAUGUGAAGGAGCAAGUGGGGAAGCUGUAUACGAGAAUCUGCUUCCAUCCCCGUCCUCUCUGCCUGCAGCUGGCGGCCAACGGCCGGGCUGUCUCUGCCCCACCACCGCGACGCCUCAUCCUGUAUGGGGAGAGAAGCACAUCAGGUACGGAGCCAUUCACUAGGUGUUGAUUCAGCACAAGUUUGGCUCUAGCUAGGGCAUGUGUUUUCCCAUGUCCUUGGGUGCUAUUUUCCCUACUGAUUUGUCUUCUCCUCGCCCUAUCUCUUUUGAUCUUAUCCCUCUCACCUUUGUUUGUUCAGCUCUUUAUAAUUUGCGCCUAGAAGGUGUUCGGCGAAAAGGCAAUAUGGUUGCACAUAAGGAUUAAUCCAUGUAAUAUAUUCUACUCAAUAUUUUACAUUUUCUAGAAUUUAGCUACAUCCAACCAUGGCUUGCAUACAUAUUGUAUCACCCCUAUCAAUUAUGUGACUAGCAGUCCCCCGAUAGCCAAUGAUAGUUACGUGCCAAAAUAAACCUAUUCAAUGGACGAACUAGCAGAUUCUAUGUAUAUAUGCCUACAAGGUGUUUGACAAAAUUCCAAACAGGUUGUUCUCAUAUUGUGUUUCAUAUUCUUUCGAUUUUCUUGGUUGAGAGAUAAAGAAUUAAAACUGAGUUGUUUGGUUGACCAUCUUAAGUACUGGUUAGCAAAUAUAUGGACCUAUAUUAUGCCUUCGAUUUUAGUUGGAAUAAAGUUAUAUCACUCAAUUAAAUUAUUUCUUGUAUAUUGUCUAACACACUUUAACCUUACUCUAAUCAUUGAAUGGUUUCCUUUUUCAGUCUCGAGCUUUCUAAUGAUCUAUGCUACUAGAGAGGAGGAAAACAAAUAUUUCAAUUCAUAUUGGUUUCAUUCUCCUACUUAUUGCUUUUUAUUUUGCAUGUGUUAUACAAUCCACUAUCUAAAAUAAUGCCAGCCAGCAAGCAAUUGAUAUGUAUUCAGUUGACUUUGGCUGUGCUAACUUUAUCCAUAUUUGUACUUGCAGAUUGCAAGCAACCUUUCGGUGGUGUAUUUGCAACCUAUCGACUAUCCAGAUUUCCAUUGAACUUUCUUGGGGAUCUCUACCUAAUAAGCAAACAGCAGGUUAUUUUCACAAAGGUAUUGGGAGAGCGAGAUGCCCAGGAUUAAAGAAAAUAAAAAAUCAUAACAGGGUAUGUAUUUGCUGAGACGCUCUUCUUCUCACUAACUUGGGACUUUUACGAUGCCACCGUUGCUGUUGGGAAUGGUUCUCUCUUCAGUAUGACAAUAAACUCAUUUUUACUGAGAAAACAGUACGCUCAUUCAGCAGCAAAUAGCACAAUGGGAUGAUUUUUUUCCCAUGCUAAUUAGAAUGCCAAUGUUUUGCUUCCCACCUGCUUAUUUGUAUAUCAAAUGACUAACCUUUCUUGUGUCUUGAUAUAGCUGCAUGCAUACGUUCAGCCAGAUGCUCAUUGAAUGGUUAUCAUACUCUUGGUGAGAUUAUAGCUACUUUGUCAUGCAUCUUUUUUCCUCUUCUGGCAUUUUGGUCCCAUUUCCAUUUCCCUCCCUCUUACGAUCAGUGCAUAUUGUGCUAUUUCGUUCAGACUCUUUGAUACAGCUUCAGGUAAUAUUCAGUCUUUUAAUUUAGUAGCUUAAAAGAUUGUUGAGAAGUAGUCUGGAUGGUUUUAUCUAGCGAGCCAGCAAUUUAAUAUAAAAUUGGAGAUGUUAAGCUUGUACUUGCAUGAUAAAUACAGAAGCAUUUUCUACCAAUACUUCACAUGAAAAAUACAUGGGAGUAAAUGGGCCAACAAUGGGAAGCUUUGUCGCAAGAGUCCCUGCUGGCAUGGUUCUCUCACCUAAAAAGCUACUUUUACAGUACAUUUCUUUAGUUUAUUGAUCACAUUGAAAAUUUGUAUAAUUAUGGCCAAUUCUGUCUUUAUUUGCAUGCUUUGAACUGUGGUACUUCAUUAACACCAAAAUACUUUUCCAUUUACACAAAACAAUCUUUGCCUAGACUGUGGCCUCAAAUGAACAAAUCCUUGAUUCUCCUACCUCUACAUAAUAGUUGUCCUGAAUUGUCUUUUUAUCGAUUGUAUAGGC